Molecule: ribosomal RNA, 253 nt
Filed under: uncultured bacterium
Lineage: Bacteria
Description: partial 16S ribosomal RNA
Rfam family: Bacterial small subunit ribosomal RNA
Source: RNAcentral
UACGGAGGGUGCAAACGUUGCUCGGAAUCAUUGGGCGUAAAGCGCACGUAGGCGGCCGAUUAAGUCGGGUGUGGAAGCCCUGGGCUCGACCCAGGAAGUGCACACGAAACUGACCGGCUUGAAUAUGGAAGAGGGUUGCGGAAUUCCCGGUGUAGAGGUGAAAUUCGUAGAUAUCGGGAGGAACACCAGUGGCGAAGGCGGCAACCUGGGCCAAUAUUGACGCUGAGGUGCGAAAGCGUGGGGAGCAAACAGG